CUCCAGACUCCUACGGGAGGCAGCAGUGGGGAAUAUUGCACAAUGGGGGAAACCCUGAUGCAGCGACGCCGCGUGAGUGAAGAAGUAUCUCGGUACGUAAAGCUCUAUCAGCAGGGAAGAUAAUGACGGUACCUGACCAAGAAGCCCCGGCCAACUACGUGCCAGCAGCCGCGGUAAUACGUAGGGGGCAAGCGUUAUCCGGAUUUACUGGGUGUAAAGGGAGCGUAGACGGCAGCGCAAGUCUGAAGUGAAAUGCCGGGGCUUAACCCCGGAACUGCUUUGGAAACUGCGCAGCUAGAGGGCAGGAGAGGUAAGUGGAAUUCCUAGGGUAGCGGUGAAAUGCGUAGAUAUUAGGAGGAACACCAGUGGCGAAGGCGGCUUACUGGACAGUAAC
This 394-nucleotide ribosomal RNA is filed under the name uncultured bacterium. Its description in RNAcentral is "bacterial SSU rRNA". It matches the Rfam family "Bacterial small subunit ribosomal RNA", at positions 329 to 740 of the family's 1533-position model. The record is from RNAcentral.